GGGGUCGGGCGAGGACCGAGCAGCCCGCGGAGGAGCGGGGUGAGGUCUGUGUAUAUAUUUUCAGCCCCGUAUGGAGAUGAAGACUAACAUUCUUGGCCUCAUGUGAAAACCUCUCAUUAAAACUGACGUCUCUGCCUGGUGGGCGCACAGCAUGGCGCACUGGGCAUUUAAACUCUGGGUGUGAAUGGUUAAGAAGCCAGGAGCGCCCGGUCCCCUUCCACCAGACCCCGUGGCCUCCGUCCGCCAGGGAAGUAUUGGGAUGAGGAGGGGUGACCAGUGAAGGGGGAUGUGAUGUGGUGGGAGGCGAUUUCAAAUGCUGAUCUCUUUCUUCCAGGAUCAAGACGGUCAAUACCACCUCUACGCUGACCAGCUCCCAAAUGCAUGUCUUCUCCCUGGAUGCACCCCCUAACUUCAGAAUCCUGCGUCCAACUCCCUGGGAGACAUAGCCACUUGGAUGUCUAAUAGGCAUUUCACACUUACAUCUAAAAUCACACUCCUGAAUUUCCCCCACCUAAACCUUGCUAUUUGGGGGGUCGAACGACCCUUUCACAGGGGUCGCCUAAGACCAUCGGGGAAAACACGUAUAUAAUUACAUAUUGUUUUUGUGAUUAAUCACUAUGUUUUAAUUAUGUUCAAUUUAUAACAAUGAAAAUACAUCCUGCAUAUCAGAUAUUUACAUUAUGAUUCAUAACGGUAGCAAAAUUACAGUUAUGGAGUAGCCACGAAAAUAAUUUUAUGGCUGGGGGUCACCACAACAUGAGGAACUGUAUUAAAGGGUCGCGUCAUUAGGAAGGUUGAGAACCACGGGUCUAGGCCCUAAUCAUAUCUCACUUUUUUAUUGCAGUAACCUUGUAAUUAGUCUCUCCGUUUCAACCUUUGCCUUCCCCUACUUAAAUCUGUUCUCAGCACAACAGCCAUAGCGAUCAUGAGUGAGAUCAUGUUUUUUUCUCUCUUCUAAACUCAUGGUGCCCUAGCUGGUUUUCUCAGUGGUUAGAGCAUCAGCCCACAGACUGAAGGGUCUCAGGUUCGAUUCCGGUCAAGGGCACAUACCUUGGUUGCAGGCUUGAUCCCACCUGUCCCUUCUACUUUCUCUGAAGAUAAAUGGAAAAAAUAUCCUCAGGUGAGGAUUAACAACAACAAAAAACUCAUGGCUUCCCAUCUUGGAGUAAAAAUAAAAAAUUAUUAUUAUGGCCUACAUAGGAUCUGGCCCCCUGGUACAGCUCUCUGACUUCCACUCCUACUGCUCUCCCUUUCUUCACCACCCCCUGCUACACUCACCUCUUAGCUGUUUUUCAAACACACCUGCCAUAUGUCUGCUUGGGUCUUUUCACUUGUUCCCUCCACCUGGUUCACUCCUUCAGAUGUCCUCUCUCUAAAUAUCUUUUCAUCAGAUCUUUUCUAGCCACCCUAUGUAAACUCACAGCUCCCCUCCAAAUCCCUCUCCCCUUUUCUGCUUUAUUUUAAUCCGUAGAACUUAUUACCAUCUAACAUGUAAUUUACCUUAUUUGUUGUUCUGCCCUUCUAGAAUAUAAGCUUCACGUUUUGUUCAUUGCUGUAUCCUCAGCACUUAGAACCAUACCUGGCACACAGUAGGCACCUAAUAAAUAUUCAGUGAAUGAGUAAAUGAGCUGUUUAGUUAUAUUAAAGACAAAGCAUCUACCCUUGACCUUGAGAGUGACAGUCAUAUAACAGCAUAGCGUAAAAAAUAGUAAAACCUGGGGAAGAAGAAAGUUGUCUAGGAGCACAGAAAAGAAAGAACAUACUAUCUUGGAAGGAAUUGAGGAAAUGACAACUGAGGUGGGUCUUAAAGCUUCAGACUGUGGGAGGACAUCUCAGACAUGAGAAUAUUGUGAAGGCAUGGGAUAAAAGAAUGUACUGGAGUAAAUGGGAGAAGUUGGCUGGUGUUUAGCUUGGAUAGUGAGGAGUAUAGGGGAUAAAGCAGGACAAGUGGGUUUUGAGACCAGAUUAUGAAGGUCUGAAGGCCCAGUUAAGGAAUGGAUAAUUUAUUAGCCAAGCUGUACCAUCAAAGGCUGGCAUUGCUCAGUGGUUAGAGUGUCGGCCCAUGUACCCAAGGGUUGUGGGUUCGAUUCUGGUCAAGGACACAUACUUUUUUUUUUUUUUUUUUUUUUCCUGGAACCUUAACAGCUCUAAAGUCCAAUCUAGGAUUUCACUGAUCCAGAUGAAGAAAACAUACUUUUCUUCCCCAAAGCCAAAAGGCUGGCAUUUUGGGAUUGGAAUUCUGAUCUUAAUUCACAGGAUGAGGUGGAUAAUCCACCCGAAAACUGAAACCUGGUAAGAGAAGAUCUUCUAGUAAGGAAAGAAAUCUUGCUUCCAAAUCAUUAGGUUUGAAGCUGUAGUAAUCCUUGACCUAAGACA
This is a long non-coding RNA of Myotis daubentonii (Daubenton's bat), 2376 nucleotides long. RefSeq lists it as uncharacterized. The transcript is spliced from 2 exons. Lineage: Eukaryota; Metazoa; Chordata; Mammalia; Chiroptera; Vespertilionidae. The record is from RefSeq and is a predicted model, not a curated record.